AACGAACGCUGGCGGCAUGCCUAACACAUGCAAGUCGAACGAGACCUUCGGGUCUAGUGGCGCACGGGUGCGUAACGCGUGGGAACCUGCCCUUAGGUUCGGAAUAACUCCCCGAAAGGGGGUGCUAAUACCGGAUAAUGUCUUCGGACCAAAGAUUUAUCGCCUUUGGAUGGGCCCGCGUUGGAUUAGCUAGUUGGUAGGGUAAAAGCCUACCAAGGCGACGAUCCAUAGCUGGUCUGAGAGGAUGAUCAGCCACACUGGGACUGAGACACGGCCCAGACUCCUACGGGAGGCAGCAGUGGGGAAUAUUGGACAAUGGGCGAAAGCCUGAUCCAGCAAUGCCGCGUGAGUGAUGAAGGCCUUAGGGUUGUAAAGCUCUUUUACCCGGGAUGAUAAUGACAGUACCGGGAGAAUAAGCGCCGGCUAACUCCGUG
This 434-nucleotide ribosomal RNA is filed under the name uncultured bacterium. Its description in RNAcentral is "partial 16S ribosomal RNA". It matches the Rfam family "Bacterial small subunit ribosomal RNA", at positions 29 to 507 of the family's 1533-position model. The record is from RNAcentral.